GACGAACGCUGGCGGCGUGCUUAACACAUGCAAGUCGAACGGAAAGGCCCUGCUUUUGUGGGGUGCUCGAGUGGCGAACGGGUGAGUAACACGUGAGUAACCUGCCCUUGACUUUGGGACAACUUCAGGAAACUGGGGCUAAUACCGGAUAGGAGCUCCUGCUGCAUGGUGGGGGUUGGAAAGUUUCGGCGGUUGGGGAUGGACUCGCGGCUUAUCAGCUUGUUGGUGGGGUAGUGGCUUACCAAGGCUUUGACGGGUAGCCGGCCUGGGAGGGUGACCGGCCACAUUGGGACUGGGAUACGGCCCAGACUCCUACGGGAGGCAGCAGUGGGGAAUAUUGCACAAUGGGCGGAAGCCCGAUGCAGCAACGCCGCGUGCGGGAUGACGGCCUUCGGGUUGUAAACCGCUUUCGCCUGUGACGAAGCGUGAGUGACGGUAAUGGGUAAAGAAGCACCGGCUAACUACGUG
RNAcentral lists this ribosomal RNA (468 nucleotides) under uncultured bacterium. RNAcentral's name for it is "partial 16S ribosomal RNA". It matches the Rfam family "Bacterial small subunit ribosomal RNA", at positions 28 to 507 of the family's 1533-position model. The record is from RNAcentral.